CUAAUUAUUAAUUGAUUAUUUUGAGGUUGAUCCUACCUUAUUUUUUUUUAUAAUAAUUAGUUAUUUUGAUAAUAUUAGAUAUAAGUUUUUGCGUGUUUUUUUAAUUGUCUUAAGGGUGAUUAAUUAAUUUUUAUUUGUAGUUUUUAAUUUUGGGUUUAAUAUUUUUAAAAUUGAAUGUCCAGUUAAUUUUUAUUAAGAUUAUUUAAGGUUGUGCCAGCAUACGCGGUUAUACAUCCAAUCUAAAUUAAUUUUUUUGGUUAGUAUUUAUUUUUAUUUUUGGGAUUAUGAUUUAAAUUAUUAGGUGAAAUUUUAAUUUUAUAUUAUUUCUUGGUUUAAUAUUAAUAUUAAAUUUAGUUUAUAGACUAGGAUUAGAU
This 374-nucleotide ribosomal RNA is filed under the name Manocoreus yunnanensis. RNAcentral describes it as "partial small subunit ribosomal RNA". Lineage: Eukaryota; Metazoa; Arthropoda; Insecta; Hemiptera; Coreidae. The record is from RNAcentral.